RNAcentral lists this long non-coding RNA (208 nucleotides) under Gossypium raimondii (Peruvian cotton). Its description in RNAcentral is "long non-coding RNA (GRAI_LNC002630)". Lineage: Eukaryota; Viridiplantae; Streptophyta; Magnoliopsida; Malvales; Malvaceae. The record is from RNAcentral.
UAAUGAUAAACACCGAUAAACAAAACGUUAAAAGCCCCAUAGACCCAUCACAUCAAUGGUACCCGAAAGGCCAAGUAUCAGGUAACUUAUCCUCCUCCUUAUCAUCUCAGAUCUAUCACAAUCAGUAUAUAUCAUGAUAAAGCCUUUCGAGAAUGAUUAUUAAUAGAUCUGGCGGCAUCCUUAUGUUGGCAAAUCUUACAUAUACGCC